Molecule: long non-coding RNA, 2411 nt
Organism: Tribolium castaneum (red flour beetle)
Lineage: Eukaryota; Metazoa; Arthropoda; Insecta; Coleoptera; Tenebrionidae
Exons: 4
Source: RefSeq, a predicted model, not a curated record
GCACUAGUACACCGAAAGAUGGGGCAACCGGCAAAGUCAAAUGUCAAAAUCACUACGUCAAAAUAUUAUCAACAACAAAUCACUUUCAUCUUUUCUUCGGUGACUUUUCUUGCGUUUAUUGAAGAACACAAAAUAAGAAAAACAAUGGUACAAGAAAAACGAUAUGGUGUUGAUAGUCGAUUGAUUGACGAAUUAAAAGUUCUACAGUUAAAGAGAAGGAAAAGAGCAAUGUUUCAACAAUUGGCCUUUGUGUCUUUCAAUAAUGGUGGAGAGACCGAAAUGAUGGUGACGGCUUCCCACAAGCGAAUAACCGUUGAUCUCAUACAGAAUUGUCGCCCGCCGGUUCAGGAGAUUGAUAGAAUUGAUGACACAACUGUUGAAAUAGUGAUGAGCGUUGCUCUGUUUAUAAGAAUAAGAUUCAGAAGUGCUGCUAGUUUAGACGCCUUUAAGAGAACGCUCGGAGAUCUAGCUGAAAAUGAUUCAUCAUCCUCAAGCUCGAGUGAAGAAUCCAAUGGGUCUACUUCGCCAGAGGGGUCCCAAACAUCAGUUUCAACCACAGACGAAACUAUGCUCACGUUACCGGGUGAAAUUUAAGUUUGUUAAAAAGCAAAUCACUCAAGUUUUUCAUAUUUUUAUUAUUUUCAUGGCAACUUAUUCAGCUAACUCUUAUAUUUUUCUAUUAAUAAAGGUGUAUCAUCAAUAAAAUAAUAAAUAAAUUAUUCAUAGGUUUAUUUAUGUCAAGAACACAAAUCCUUUUUGAUAACUGCAAUUUUAGUUAAUUCUAAUAUAAUUCAUUUGUUCAAUCUGUGACAAUAUUUGAUUUUUAAUUUUAAAUACUUGAAUUUGUUUGGCCGGAAUCGUAUUCCAAUGUGUGUUACAGUAGCCCAACAGAAAAACGUAAAAUCUUUGAAAAUGUUAAUUUUAAAAUAAACCUUAAAAACGGGGGUGUUUUCACAAUUUCUUCUGCUUUUCUGUUUACCCUUGAAAAUCCGGGAAUUUUCCUUAAAAAAUGGUUGUGUGCUGAAGGGGCCCUACUAUAGAUUAUAGAUUUUAUUGCCAUCAAUAAAUAAUACAUGGCGCGUCAUAUAAUUAUGUACAUGUAAGUGUAUAUGGGACAAUACAUACAUUUAUUUUAAAUCUGGAGGGUUAUCCAGGAACUCUUGGAUAGAAUAAUAACUCAUUUCUAAUAGUGCGUCCUUUACCUUCUUCUCAAACAGAGCCGGAGCUAGUCUCUUCAUCGGGUCCUGAAGCUUGUUAUAAAGCUUCGGGCCCCAAUGGUCAAUGCUGUGCUGUGACACUUUAAGCCGAUGGUACGGUGUUGAGAGCGCGUCAGCGUGUCUUGUGUUAUGCUCGUGAUAUGAGCCAUUCUUGAUGAACUCGUGGAGGUGGUUGUGGACGUACCUCAGACAGCUCAAUAUGUACGCGGAAGGGAUGGUAAGAAUUUGUUGUUGUUUGAAGGCUGGGCGGCAGCUUUCCCGAUAGUUCAUUUGGCACAGGAUUCUGAUUGCUUUCUUUUGCAGGACGAAGAUCUUGUCAGCAUCUGAUGAAGUACCCCAUAGAAGUAUACCAUAGGUGGCUUUGCUGUGGAAGUUAGCAAAGUAUGUCACCCUUGCAGCUUGGGGAGUUGAGAUAUUCUUGAUUCUUCUGAUACUGAAUAAAGCUGAUGCUAGGUUUUUGCAGGUUUCCUGAAUGUGGUCCUUCCAAGAUGCUUUGCUAUUUAGGUAAAAUCCCAAGAAUUUUACCGAUGUGACGUUGGUGGGUUUUGAAGAUAUAAAUAGUUCCUGAGUCUUGUCUCCAUUGAGUUUCAGUUUAUUUGCUGUGAACCAUUCAUUGGCAUCUUCAAGGAUUUUUCUCAUUUUUGGUUUUAGCGUAUCCUCUGUUUCUUCUUUGAUGCAGAAGGAAGUGUCGUCCGCAUAUAGACACUGUCCAUCCACUCUCAUAUUGAUAGGCAAGUCAUUUACAUAGAUUAUAAAUAGCAGUGGACCGAGGAUUGAUCCCUGGGGCACUCCACACCUUGUUGGCAGAGGCUUUGACCAUUUUUCAUUCCAUUUUACUAUCUGGGUUCUAUUUUCAAGGGAAGAAUUUGUCAAAGGCAGCUGUCAGAGUUGUAUGGAAGACAGUGUAGGCCUCUUUUGCAUUACGGUGUUUGAAGACACGAGCCCACUCAAUUCCGGUUAAGUACUCCUUAAAGUAGUUCUUGCACUGGGUUCUUAAUCUUCAGGACUUGACAGUAGUGAUCAGACAUGCACCAACUUUUUGUCUCUUUUGAGAAGAUUUCUUCUAUGUUAAUAUUUGAAAAUAUAUUAUCUAUGCAGCUAGAAGAAGUUUCAGUUGUUCUAGAUGCCUCUCUCAUUAGUGGUUGCAUACCAUAUGUUGUGAAAGUUUCGAUUAAUAAAGAUUGUUCGACGCCA